CACAGAAGUUGUCCUCUAGCCACAGCAGCUCGAACUUUUUUGAUUGUUGUUGCUGCUUUCUCCCAUCACCCCCAUCCCCUUUUGACAAAGAUCCAACUGUAAAAAGUCUUACGUAACAGUUCAGGACUACUUCGGUUCUUUUACUGGGGUAUCUAAACAUUAACCCCUCUUCAAAUUGGGAUUUAUCCUUGCUGUCAAAGGACUACAUGAUAAAGCUGCUAUUACCAAUGGAGUGAUGUAUAUGCAUGUACCACAAUGGUACAAUCUUCACAUUAUCUCCACAGAACCUGAAGCUCCCAGGAUCCAAGAGUUCUAAUCACAAAGUUUCCAGUAUAUCAAGAGGACUCAGGAGGACUAUGAUAACAUUUAUAUCUCCAAGUCUGGGGAAAAAAAAUGUGGUUUCAACAUUUCAUAUCUCUGGAAAAGGAGGUAAGUGAAAUGGGAAAGGAAGGGCAUGGUAAGUUCUGACAACUCAAAACCAAUCUAAGUCAAGAAUUAAACAGAUCAACUUAUGAUCAGCUAUUAUCUAACUCUUAGAUAAUUUAAACCUUGACUUUUUUUAAACCUUAGAUUUGAUCAUUGCACUUAAUACAUAAAUCCCUUAGCCAAACUCUCACAAAACAGCCAAUAUGUACCUUAAACUUGAUGAUAGAAACUAAAGGAUUUAAAACAAAUAAAAGGAAUGAGGAUGAUGAAAAGCUUUAUGCCAUGAAAGUUAAUUAUCUUAAAACACAAUGGGAAACACCUCUGUGUCAUUCCAGAAACUUACCUUUCAUUCUUCUGUAGUUUUUAAGUCUAUGAAAGGUAUUCUUAGAAUGCUAUGUAUUUAAGGAAUGGUAUUCUGUUGGUAUCUAAUGAUCUGGUUUCGCCAAAAUUAGUACAGUUCUAAAGUUUGAAUAUUUACCCAAUUAAAAUAAGGCUUGACAUCACUUCAUAUUAGACCAAGGGGAAGAACUGUUUAAAAUAUAUAUUAAAGAGUUUUAAAAACACUACACAAUUGCUUAACUUGUUUGUAUGCAAUUUGCUUUCAUAAAAAUUCAACAAAGCUGGCUAACUGGAGAGCUUUGACCAAAGUAAAAUAAUUUAACUUAUGUGGAAUGUAAACAAUUUACAUUCAAAUCAGAUUAUCAGUGGUUGAUAUUUUUUUAUUAUAAUACCACUUGAAUGCGUUAAAAAAAUUUGAGAACAGCCUUUAAAAUGUAAACCUAAAGCAAAUGGCAAGAACUAUCCAUAGUUGGAGUUAAAUUUCAAUUCAGUCAGCAGUUCUGUUAGCUCUGUUCCUACUGAGCAUGCCCAGAUCUGGACCCCACUCCUGGCCUUUAGAAAUCCAACAUUCUGAAAAGAUCCAUAUUAUUAAUUCUGUUCCUAGAUUUUUCCCAUUACGGACAUUCAAUAGAAAAAGAUUUCUGAUAUUGUAAUUACUCUCUGUGCUCUUAGAAGAAAUGCAGGCUUUCCACUAGUACAUAGUUGUUUUGUUUUCCAUUUUUAUUUUUUUGCCUUUUUAGCAUGAAAAAUAACUUGUGUCCUAUCAUUGCCACCUCUAUGUUAAGUUAGUCAUUCAGGAUCUUAGCUAGGGAGAUUAUCAAUUAUGAAAGAACAUUUUACCUACAGACCUAACUGCUAUUAUUAUAGGUAAACAAGAGGAAGAAAUUUACAUGCUUGGCUUACCUCUGAUGCAGUGAAGGUUUUAGCUACAGAUUUCAACAGUUUUUGACAGUCAAGGGAGGAGACAGGAGCAUAGGAAUCAUAAAGUCUAGUAUUCAAAAUCUGGCUUAUAACCUUGGCUCCUAGCAAAUCAUCUGCUUAAGACUCGGUUUUCUCAUAAAGAAAAUGUGGACUGAAAGUUUAAUGUGAUCAAACAUACAAAAAAUUUUAGUACACAGGUCCCCAAUAAGUGUUAAUAUCUUCUUUACCUCUGCUCUUUAAUAUUUAAAAUGCUAAUAUACAAUUUAGCUAAUAUACAAUUUAAUUACAAAUACUAUUCAAAGCCUGCUUGUAAUAAGUCACUGCAAUCUCAUCUCUAACUGUAUGCAAAUUGAUUAUCAAAAUAAAAGUACUCUGAACUUGAAACCUGGAAAAGAACAUGAGAGCCACUAGCAGUGGUCUCACUGUUUAUGGGCUCUUGGGAUUCAGGUGCAAGCUGAAGAAGGGCUCCCAGGCCGGCUGUUAGAGGACUCCAAUGAACAUUCAACGCUGUCGGUGAGUUUGGGAUUUGAAAAAACCACCGACCGUUGACUGUACCUUAGGGUCCUUACAGACAACACUACUUUACUGAAGCAAAGAGGCAGACUGUACCUUCACAUAUCAUGUGAGAUCACCAGAAAUAAUUGUGUGGCCUGUCCCCCUCCUCUCAAAGUGUUCCAGUGCAUUUUUUAAAAAGCUUCCUUCCACUUCUAUUACCCAUUAUUCCUUGAUUUUUGUUUUUUCAUUUCAAAAAGGUAAGGACAGUUCCAUGACAAUACCUAAUAAACUUAAAUGUCUCCUAGAAAUAUGCCGUUCUACUGAGAAAUAGGAUGUAGUGGGGAGAGAUUUAUUAAAAAUAUGUAUUUCAUUUUGAAAUAAAACUCAGUUAAAUGUUUUAUUCACACAUCCAUUUCUGUUAUACUCCCUCAAAAUUUUUAAUAAGAGUCAAGGGGAGAAUUUAAUAGCAAAACAACACAAAACUAUCCCACAUCUACAAAGCUUUAUCAUAUUCUGCCUCCAGUUACAGUUAACGUAGUUUAGUUUUGAUAGCUCACCAACAGUAUAAACCAUUGUCUUACUAUUUUCAUCACCACAUAUGCUUAUAUAAAUAAAUGUCUGUUAAAUUCAAGAAAAGUCAGAUCUGCGGUCAGACAGAUUUAGGAUAAAUAUCGACUCAACCCCCUGAAACUAGCUCUGUGACUCUUAGCAAGUGUCUCAGUUUUCCCACAUACAGAGUAGGGGAAAUAAGAGUACCUAUCUCAUGAAAUUCUGAGAUCCCGAGAUAAUAUCUAAGUUGUUUCAGACACUCCUAACAGCAAAUGUUCAAUAUAUACUAGCUAUUAUUACUUCACUCCAAACAAAAUCCGUGCUAGUUUACCUUGAAAAAAGCACUCAUACUUCUCAGUUCAAAACAGAGAGGCAGAAGCAGUAUUCCUGGGCACUGGUUUACGGUAUCAGUAUCAAGCACCGCCUGUGCCAUCACAGAGAUACAUGUGAGGUUCUCCAGGAGCUACUUCCUUCGCUGCUCCACCUUUAAGAGCCUCCCCAAGCUACUGUCAAUGUUAUCUAUCAUGAUGUGGGCCCUCAACCAUACGGUGGCUGGAUACUAAGACACAGGCACAGACUUCACAGAACCAGCAUGAAAAAGGAAAAACAAGAGUCAGAGAAAACCAAGACAACCACAACAACUGGAAACACUGAUGGCUGCACUCAACAUUCAUUGCUGUCGGUGGGUUUGAGUGCAAAUCAACUCACUGAUCAAUGAAUGCAAACUGCGGACCAAACAACCCAAGGAGGCAAAAGUAUGCUCAAAAGGUCACCUGAGUGGAUCAGCUACUGCUCCAGUGAGGGCUCCUACUAUUUCUAAUACGCCUGCAAAAGCUUCUACCAUUCUUUUUGGUUUUGAUUUGCAGUAAGUUCUCUGAAUUCCUAGUACUUUUCGUUGUUCUUCUUUGACGUUCGACAGGAGUGAAGAACAUGAUAUUUCAUAGGGAGGAUGAAUAUCAUACCACAUUUAAAAGCCAGUGGUUGCAUAACUUUUUAAGUUAAAAAAUCCUAUGUUCAUCAAAUAUUUUUUAUUUAUUUGACAGAUAGAGUGAGAUAGUGAGAGAGAAAGGUCUUCCUUCCGUUGGUUCACCCCCUAAAUGGUCACCAUCCCCAAAAUGGCCGCCACGGCUGGAGCUACACGGAUCCAAAGGCAGGAGCCAGGUACUUCUUCCUGGUCUCCAAUGUGGGUGCAGGCGCCCAAGCACUUGGGCCAUCCUCCACUGCCUUCCUGGGCCACAGCAGAGAGAUGGACUGGAAGAGGAGCAACCAGGACUAGAACCCACUGCCCAUAUGGGAUGCUGACACCGCAGGCAGAGGAUUAACCAAGUGAGCCACAGCGCUGGCCCCUGUUCAUUAAAUAUUAAAUAUAAAAAUAUAGCAAGUAAAAACUGCAAAAUCUCUUUCCUCACAUCUGCAACCCAUUUCCUCAGUGGAAUCGUACAUGUAAUAAAUUUUUUUAUUAUUUGAUAUUAUCAACAUAAUAUCAGAAUUUUAUUUUCUAUCCUUAGAUAUCUUAAACUAUCCACAUACAAACACAUACAUAUCUAUAAUUUUGUGUUUUUUGGGGGGGGGCUAGUUUAAACAAAAAUAGCUUAUUUUAGACCUAAUGUUCUAGAAAUGCUUUUUCACUCUUCCACAACAAUCUUUUUUAUAUUCUUAUCAUUCUUUUAAAUGGCUAUAAUACUAUGUGUUAGUAUGAACCCCAGGUUAUUACUGUUGAAAAUAUUUGAAUAUUCUCUUCUGUCAAAACUAUGAAGUUUAUUCUUUCCGAUAUUGGCAAAUCAUAUUCUUCUAACAAGAAAAAUACCUAAGUGAAAUGAUUAAAAUUUUUCUUAACAAAAAUUAAAAUGUAUCAGUUCGCUAAAUCCUAUAAUGAAAUAUGAAAUAAACCACUAAAUCUUCCAUGCUCAUUAAAAAAAGGACUUUUGGUCAUGAAUAAUUUAUUAUAGAAUUAUGACUAAGAUGUUAAGAAACAAAUUCUCAUAGCAAAGAUCAAAUAAAGCAAUAGAAGUCUUGUCAACCUAGCCUUCCAAAAGUUUUUCUCGAGGAUAUGAAGGAAGAAGUACAGAUAUAAGGUAUAAGUAUACCUAUAAGGAAGAAGUAUAGAUAUAAUAAAAAUCAAAUGAAAGAUGUUUAAAAAACGUAAGAAUUCAGGGCCGGCGCUGUGGCAUAACAAGUUAAAGCCCUUUCAGGGCCGGCGCUGUGGCAUAACAAGUUAAAGCCCUGCCCUGCAGCACCGGCAUCCCAUAUGGGUGCCGGUUUGAGUACUGGCUACUACACUUCCAAUCCAGCUCUCUACUAUGGCCUGGGAAAGUAGCAGAAGAUGGUCCAAGUGCUUAGGCCCCUGCACCCAUGUGGGAGACCAGGAAGAAGCUCCUGGCUCCUGGCUUCAGAUCAGCUCAGCUCUGACUAUUGUGGUCAUCUGGGGAGUGAACCAACAGAUGGAAGUCAGUCAGUCUCUCUCUCUCUCUUUCUCUCCCCCUCUCUCUCCCUCUCUCUGUAAUUCUUUCAAAUAAAUAAAAUAAAUCUUUAAAACAAAACAUAAGAAGUCAGGAAAAUAUGGAGUUUAAGACAGUGUUUCCCAAACCUGGUUACAAACCAGAAUCUUCAAGCGUUGCUUUUAAAAAUGUAAAUUCCUGGGGCCACUGUCAUGGUGUAGCAGGUAAAGCUGCCACCUGCAAUGCCAGCAUCCUAUAUAGGUGCAGGCUGGAGACCCAGCUGAUCCACUUCCAACGUACUCCCUGCUAAUGUGCCUGCAAAAGCAGCAGAUGAUGGCCCAAGUGUCUGGGCCCCUGGGCCCCUGGGCCCCUGCCACCCUCAUGGGAGAUCUAGAGGAGGCUCCUGACUCCUGGCUUCGGCCUGUCCCAGACCCAGCUGUUGCAGCCAUGUGGGGAGUGAACCAGUAGAGAGAGAGGAUCUUCCCUCCCCCCUCCAGUAUGUGUGUGUGUGUGUGUGUGUGUGUGUGUGUAAAAACUCAUGACUUUCAAAUAAAUAAAUAUAUCUUUAAAAGACAUUGUUUGGCCAGCGCUGCGGCUCAAUAGGCUAAUCCUCCGCCUCGCAGCGCCGGCACACCGGGUUCUAGUCCCAGUCAGGGCGCCGGAUUCUGUCCCGGUUGCCCCUCUUCCAGGCCAGCUCUCUGCUGUGGCCAGGGAGUGCAGUGGAGGAUGGCCCAGGUCCUUGGGCCCUGCACCCCAUGGGAGACCAGGAGAAGCACCUGGCUCCUGUACUUCGGAUUAGUGUGGUGCGCCUGCCACAGCGCACCAGCCGUGGCAGCUUUGGAGGGUGAACCAACGGCAAAAGGAAGACCUUUCUCUCUGUCUGUCUCUCUCACUAUCCACCCUGCCUGUCAAAAAAAAAAAAAAAAAAAAAAUAGCCCUCUCUCUCUAUCUGUCCCUCUCACUGUCUGUAACUCUACCUCUCAAAUAAAUUCAAAUAAAUACAGUUAAAAAAAAAAAAAAAGAGAUGAUACU
Molecule: non-coding RNA, 6200 nt
Organism: Oryctolagus cuniculus (rabbit)
Lineage: Eukaryota; Metazoa; Chordata; Mammalia; Lagomorpha; Leporidae
Source: RefSeq, a predicted model, not a curated record